Molecule: long non-coding RNA, 997 nt
Organism: Triticum aestivum (bread wheat)
Lineage: Eukaryota; Viridiplantae; Streptophyta; Magnoliopsida; Poales; Poaceae
Exons: 3
Source: RefSeq, a predicted model, not a curated record
CAGAAUCUCCCCGAUUUUUCCGCUCGCGGCGACGGCGCGACGGCGCGGCUCACCAGUCCCCAUGGCGGCGCGGCGGCUCCGUUCGCCGGAGGAGCGUGCAGCGUGCUAGCGCCGCGUGCUGCUUCGUCGAACGGCGCCGACCACGUUGCGGUCGCAUGGGCUUUUCUUGUGCGGAGCAGAGGGGACAAGGCGAUGGUGGCGCGCCGGACUUGAGGAAGGUGGCGGCGGCGUGAAUGGCAACAGCGGCCGUUCGCGCCGUCGCCCGUAAGGAUGGCACCGGUCAUUUCCAACAUCACCUGCAAGCUUUCUCCGAUGAGAUGACGGAGGUACGGCGACGGCGCCCUCGCACAGCGAGCUGUGUGGAACCCCGAACGGGAGCCGUCGACGCGGCCACAUCAGGCGAGGAUUCGACAUGCAGUUUGCUGGAGUUGAUCCUGCGAUCUCGCGGUUUCCGCACUAGACUGUUAGCCUCGCCGCAACAUUUGGAAGAAGGCAAUCUGGAUCCAAAUGAAUCACAUAUUUGCAAGAGAAGGGAAGAUGAAAACUAAUUCCAAUGUCCGACGAGAUGAAUCCGCGUGGUAUGUGACACUAGAGGAUGUCCAAGUGAACAGGGUUCCAACAAUGACGAGAGCAAGGGGACCUUUCGGUGAUCAUCCUAACGGUGUGGUAAAUCGAGAAACAGAGCAAUGCGGCUAUCUUCGAUAAAGUGAGUUGAGCAUUGUCAGCAUGCUUGACACGAUCAAGGCCGAGGCCAGAUUGGGGUGGGGGGCCUCGAAGAGGUACUGUCUGCGGUGCCUACUUUGGGUUUGUGGCCUCUCGUACAUACAACUAUUUCUUCUAGAGACGCAGGGCUUUUGCGCUUUCUCAAAGAAAGAAAAGACAAUCACCGAGGCAUGUAUGAAAUGAAAUUAUGUAAGGAAGAAAUUCCUGUUAACUGUUGGUAUUGUAUAAGUUGGUCUCUUCCAGUGAACGGUACCUAUUGCCUAUAUAUGUUGCA